CCUACGGGAGGCAGCAGUGAGGAAUAUUGGUCAAUGGGCGCGAGCCUGAACCAGCCAAGUAGCGUGAAGGAUGACUGCCCUACGGGUUGUAAACUGCUUUUAUAAAGGAAUAAAGUGAGGCACGUGUGCCGUGUUGUAUGUACCUUAUGAAUAAGGAUCGGCUAACUCCGUGCCAGCAGCCGCGGUAAUACGGAGGAUCCGAGCGUUAUCCGGAUUUAUUGGGUUUAAAGGGAGCGUAGAUGGGUUGUUAAGUCAGAUGUGAAAGUUUGCGGCUCAACCGUAAAAUUGCAUUUGAUACUGGCAGCCUUUAGUACAGUUGCGGUAGGCGGACUUCGUGGUUUAGCGG
RNAcentral lists this ribosomal RNA (346 nucleotides) under uncultured bacterium. Its description in RNAcentral is "partial 16S ribosomal RNA". It matches the Rfam family "Bacterial small subunit ribosomal RNA", at positions 338 to 681 of the family's 1533-position model. The record is from RNAcentral.